This 496-nucleotide ribosomal RNA is filed under the name uncultured bacterium. RNAcentral describes it as "partial 16S ribosomal RNA". It matches the Rfam family "Bacterial small subunit ribosomal RNA", at positions 28 to 506 of the family's 1533-position model. The record is from RNAcentral.
GAUGAACGCUGGCGGCGUGCCUAAUACAUGCAAGUCGAGCGAACGGACGAGAAGCUUGCUUUUCUGAUGUUAGCGGCGGACGGGUGAGUAACACGUGGAUAACCUACCUAUAAGACUGGGAUAACUUCGGGAAACCGGAGCUAAUACCGGAUAAUAUUUUGAACCGCAUGGUUCAAAAGUGAAAGACGGUCCUGCUGUCACUUAUAGAUGGAUCCGCGCUGCAUUAGCUAGUUGGUAAGGUAACGGCUUACCAGGGCAACGAUGCAUAGCCGACCUGAGAGGGUGAUCGGCCACACUGGAACUGAGACACGGUCCAGACUCCUACGGGAGGCAGCAGUAGGGAAUCUUCCGCAAUGGGCGAAAGCCUGACGGAGCAACGCCGCGUGAGUGAUGAAGGUCUUCGGAUCGUAAAACUCUGUUAUUAGGGAAGAACAUAUGUGUAAGUAACGGUGCACAUCUUGACGGUACCUAAUCAGAAAGCCACGGCUAACUACGU